RNAcentral lists this ribosomal RNA (331 nucleotides) under uncultured bacterium. Its description in RNAcentral is "bacterial SSU rRNA". It matches the Rfam family "Bacterial small subunit ribosomal RNA", at positions 568 to 898 of the family's 1533-position model. The record is from RNAcentral.
CGCGUAGGUGGUAGUGUAAGUCUGAGGUGGAAUCCUAUGGCUUAACCAUAGAACUGCCUUGGAUACUGUAUUACUUGAGUCAGUGAGGGGAGGGUAGAAUUCCUGGUGUAGCGGUGAAAUGCGUAGAUAUCAGGAGGAAGGCCUGUGGCGAAGGCGGCCCUCUGGUGCUGGACUGACACUGAGGCGCGAAAGCGUGGGGAGCAAACAGGAUUAGAUACCCUGGUAGUCCACGCCCUAAACGGUGGGCACUAGGUGUAGGGCUCGCAAGGGUUCUGUGCCGAAGGGAAACCAUUAAGUGCCCCGCCUGGGGAGUACGGCCGCAAAGGUUGAA